RNAcentral lists this long non-coding RNA (518 nucleotides) under Elaeis guineensis (African oil palm). RNAcentral describes it as "long non-coding RNA (EGUI_LNC050612)". Lineage: Eukaryota; Viridiplantae; Streptophyta; Magnoliopsida; Arecales; Arecaceae. The record is from RNAcentral.
UAACUGAUUGACAGCAAAGUCUGUAACCACCUGGUAGUGGGCUGUUCAGAGCCACAUGGAGUUUGUUACGGAGAGUAGUGGCGUCAGGGAUCGUUUAGGGCCACGUGGAGUUUGUUACGGAGAGUGGAGUGGUGUCCGUUGUCGUGACUUGCCAGAGAGUGGUAGAGCCCGGAGAGUGGAGUGGUGUCCAUUGUUGUGACUUGCCAGAGAGUGGUGAAGCCAUGCAGAUUCCGUUGCAGAGAAUGAAGUAGGGUAGUGGCCAUUGUCACGACUUGCCAGAGAGUUCGGAUCUGUCGGUUGGAGCUCGACUAGGAUAUCUGAUGGAGCGGAAUGGCUCUCUAUCCCAUCGAUCUAGAAGAAGCUCGAUUAUUUUCGAGACUGCUGACGAGUCUACUGUUGUCGGAUGCCUCAGGUGCUGAUGCUAUAGGCGGGAGUCAUCUGCUGUAGAAGCUCAGAUGGAGACGUUCUAUUAGUGAAGUCCGGUAGAAGUCUGAUUGCUAGAGAAGUCCAUCUGCGAU